Onychostoma macrolepis is the source of this 276-nucleotide long non-coding RNA. RefSeq lists it as uncharacterized. NCBI's taxonomy places the organism in Eukaryota, Metazoa, Chordata, Actinopteri, Cypriniformes, Cyprinidae. The transcript has 3 exons. The record is from RefSeq and is a predicted model, not a curated record.
CAUUGAUCGCCUUGACUCCUGACUGUACCGAAAACACCAACAGCACAUUUCUGAGGAUUUGGAAACAUCUGACGCAGCGGUUACACUUUGGAGCUUCUGUGUGACUGUGAUCCCCUUCCGCCUGCUCUGGGGGGGAUUUAGCGGUUUUCUACCCAAGAGCAUCCUGGCGGUGGAAAAUCACGUUAAGCAUGCUGCGGUUACUCACAUAGGUGGACUGUUCUCUCCGCCAGUGUCCCAGACCACAGCAAUACAUCAAGAGAACAUCCAGGGGGGUCG